CUUCAAAGCUUUUCUAGGAAAUAAUUGAACACUUAAUGAUUUUAAAGUUCCAUGAUAGCUCUAAAGCCAAAUUGUUGUUUAAAUUAAUACAUUUAACUAAUGAUCAACACAUGAGUCUGAAAGAUGCUUCUCUGCACACAGGUGCGUUUGCGGAUCUGGCCUCAGGGCGAUGACUAAAACAGCAAAUGGUGUGUGAUACAGGGCUUGUCCGGAGCACCAAGGGGAGCUGGGCAGGCAGCGUCCUGGGAUGAGAAAAUUCUGCAGGAUAUGGAAUGUGCCUCUGUGGGUGAACACAAAGGGCUCAGCGCAGCUUGGCUCUGCAGUCGGCUUACCCCCAUUUGGAGUGAGAAGUUGCAAUCUGAGGAAGGUGAUAAGCAGGGGAGGGGAGGAUGAUCGCAAGAAAGUCCAUGAGCACAAGGGUAGUGAGCGCUGGCAGGAGCUCAGCACCAAGAAGCUGAUGAGGUCGGGCACUGAGAUGCUAGGACAGCCAGAAACUCCUUUGACCAUAGCAGGCAUGAGCGAGCACCAUUAUUUGGGGAGACUGUGCUUCUCUUCUCCAGCUCGAGUUUGUGAAGCUGGAGCCAAACUUCCUGGGAGCUCCAUAGGCAGAUGGUGCCUCCAGAACAGGGAAACAGGGCGCUGCUGCCUCCAAAGUCACCUGGAUAUCCACAAAGAAGGCAACGUGUAUGUGCCUGCGGGAGCUGAUGCCCUUCCCAGGCUGGAGUCCAGACCCCCAGCACAGCACACUUCCAAGCACCCAGCCCCAUGAGACUUCCAAGAACAUGACUCACACACACUACCCCAAGAGCUCUCUGAAAGGCAACAUGACAUUAACCUUAGAUGAAUGAUAUAUUAAAGCAAAACUCAUGGGGAAUCUGGCUUACAUUGUGGUGUGAUCAAGCUCUGAAACUUUCAUUUUCUUGCAUUUUUACUUAUAUAUAACUAGUCAGUCACAGCCUUGCUAGGUGGCCUGCUCAUGGUAAAAUAUUUAUUCCACCAGAAAGGUUGAAACAUUAUUCUUCCAGUACUUUGGCUGAAGACUACGCAGCACAGUACCUGGGGUUUGUGUGAAAUUUAGUAUUUACAGAGGCUGUAGGAGAGACUGGGACCACCCUGAUUUAGCUCCUUCCUCCAUUCUUUCAUUCUGUAUGACCUACCAAAUUAAUUAAAAAUUUGGGGAGCCCUCCAGUGGCCAAAAUUAUAGUGCCUAAAUUCACCACUGUUAAAGAGGUAUCACAAAAUCUGGUGGUGUCUUAAGUCUUUGCAAAAAUGCAUACACCUACAACUUUUCAAUAUGGAAUUUUUAAAAAGUUACCUUUUUACAGAAAAUAUAUUUUUUAAAAGGUCAGUCCGGUUAAGUACAGUCACUGCAACAGUGGAGAUACUUGGGGAAAAGAUUUCCUAAAAGCUCUUUGUAGAAAAC
Molecule: long non-coding RNA, 1423 nt
Filed under: Struthio camelus australis
Lineage: Eukaryota; Metazoa; Chordata; Aves; Struthioniformes; Struthionidae
Description: lncRNA (ENSSCUG00000007696.1)
Source: RNAcentral